Molecule: long non-coding RNA, 723 nt
Organism: Aedes albopictus (Asian tiger mosquito)
Lineage: Eukaryota; Metazoa; Arthropoda; Insecta; Diptera; Culicidae
Exons: 2
Source: RefSeq, a predicted model, not a curated record
AGAAAAAAAUAAUUAAUAUUAACUGAAGCUUAAAUGAUUUAUUAGUGGAAUGCUACUCACCGCAAUCUUUGAUCUAGCGUAAAUUUACAUUGAAUUUCAUACACAUGGCGUUAGGCAUUCAAUUGGAGUAAAACCAAAUGUGUAUCCUCAAUUCUGAGCGAUAAAUCAUAUUAUCUUAAACGAACGCACCAAAGUUCAAUUGACUCUGUCGUGACUUUACGCGAUUCUCAUGUAAAAUCAAUGUCUGAUGCUUAGACGAUCGCCGCAGCGCUGGCUUGUCAGUCAGCCAUAUUGUUUGUUUGAGUUCCGUGCGAAAAAUUAUCCAAGUUUUGGUAGGGAUUAAAAUUUCGUUGAUUCCAGCUAAUUUACCAGUAAAAAGGUGCCAACAUUUGGUCAUCGUAAUCACGAGCCUACGUGAGGAAGGCAUCGACCAAUCGCGUUUGCACGGGUGCAUCACGGAAUAUGUUUUUUCGACGAUGUUCCCGCUGAGAGAAGUUGAACGAUGCCAUCCAAACCAGGAACGGAACAAUCUACUGCAGUGGCUAAUAGUGGAGGCAGCGGCGGCGAUUGCUGACUCAGUCUGAUUAGCAAACGAUGCCAGUGGAAAGUGCAAAAAAUCGUUCCUUGUCAGAAAAGAAUGUCAACAAUCAAAGUGAAGUGCCAAUAUCAUGUGUUAUAGAUUUGAAUCAUUUUGAAUAAAACAAAGCAUGUAUGUUUAUUGAA